RNAcentral lists this ribosomal RNA (401 nucleotides) under Klebsiella variicola. Its description in RNAcentral is "bacterial SSU rRNA". It matches the Rfam family "Bacterial small subunit ribosomal RNA", at positions 1031 to 1437 of the family's 1533-position model. Lineage: Bacteria; Pseudomonadati; Pseudomonadota; Gammaproteobacteria; Enterobacterales; Enterobacteriaceae. The record is from RNAcentral.
GAGACAGGUGCUGCAUGGCUGUCGUCAGCUCGUGUUGUGAAAUGUUGGGUUAAGUCCCGCAACGAGCGCAACCCUUAUCCUUUGUUGCCAGCGGUUCGGCCGGGAACUCAAAGGAGACUGCCAGUGAUAAACUGGAGGAAGGUGGGGAUGACGUCAAGUCAUCAUGGCCCUUACGACCAGGGCUACACACGUGCUACAAUGGCAUAUACAAAGAGAAGCGACCUCGCGAGAGCAAGCGGACCUCAUAAAGUAUGUCGUAGUCCGGAUUGGAGUCUGCAACUCGACUCCAUGAAGUCGGAAUCGCUAGUAAUCGUAGAUCAGAAUGCUACGGUGAAUACGUUCCCCGGAGCCUUGUACACUGCCUCCGUCACUCUAACAAGGUAACCGUAGAGUUUGAUCCU